Geobacillus sp. BCO2 is the source of this 29-nucleotide non-coding RNA. The record is from Rfam. Lineage: Bacteria; Bacillati; Bacillota; Bacilli; Caryophanales; Anoxybacillaceae.
GUUUCAAUCCCUCAUAGGUACGAUAAAAC